RNAcentral lists this ribosomal RNA (370 nucleotides) under uncultured organism. RNAcentral describes it as "partial 16S ribosomal RNA". It matches the Rfam family "Bacterial small subunit ribosomal RNA", at positions 527 to 896 of the family's 1533-position model. The record is from RNAcentral.
GAACCGUACGAACGUUAUUCGGAAUCACUGGGCUUAAAGGGUGCGUAGGCGGCCUGGUCAGUUGGGUGUGAAAUCCCUCGGCUCAACCGAGGAACUGCGCUCAAUACUGCCAGGCUCGAGGGAGAUAGAGGUGAGCGGAACUGAUGGUGGAGCGGUGAAAUGCGUUGAUAUCAUCAGGAACACCUGUGGCGAAGGCGGCUCACUGGGUCUCUUCUGACGCUGAGGCACGAAAGCUAGGGUAGCGAACGGGAUUAGAUACCCCGGUAGUCCUAGCUGUAAACGAUGAGCACUAGAUCGGAGACCCUUCCACAGGAUUCCGGUCGUAGCGAAAGUGUUAAGUGCUCCGCCUGGGAGUAUGGUCGCAAGGCUG